UGCAUCGGCCGGGAAUCGAACCCGGGCUGCCUGCUUGGCAGACGAGCAUUCUACCACUGAACCACUGAUGC
This 71-nucleotide transfer RNA is filed under the name Cordylochernes scorpioides. Its description in RNAcentral is "tRNA-Gly". The record is from RNAcentral. Lineage: Eukaryota; Metazoa; Arthropoda; Arachnida; Pseudoscorpiones; Chernetidae.